GCCUCCUCCCUCGGCCCGCUUCCACACCUGCGACGCGCUUCCCUCAUCGCAACCUUCCUGCGACCAAUCUUCUCCUCCAAUCACGCAAUCUCCUCUUCCAAUCCAAUCUUGGGGUCGUCGCUCGCGGAACCUCCCAGAAGGAAACAACGCCACACAGCAUCACGUUGAUUGCGGCGCCUGCUCCCUUCCUCGUGCGAUCUGUGGCCCUGCUCCCUUGAGCGGAGCGCACUGCAGAGCCGGUCACCGGCGAGGUGGUGCUAUGCGUCCACCCCACCCAGGAGGCGGAGCACUGCCGCUAGGAUGUCAUCGGCUACCUCAGGCGACUCCUUGGCUCCUCCCUCGGCUGCGAGGUGCGUCCGUACCCGCUGCUGUGAUCUGUCUCCCCCUAAUCCCCAUGGAAGCACCCCAGGAAGCCCCACCAGGCCCCAAUCUAGACUUCCGUUGCCUUGAUCCCCAUCCACCUCUGUGGUUUCAUCACCAGCGAAACUACUUCACCUCCUCCAUCGAGGCAAGAUGGAUGCGACUGGUGGCAACACACAAUGGCACUGGAGGACCUGGUGCUCUAGGCUGGAUCCACGAAGGAGGUUGCCUUGUCGACCACAGCUAAGGCAAAGGCUGGAUCAGAUGAUGGUGUGUUGAGGACGACAAGAGAUGCCUCACUUAGAGGAGGACAUGGCAGCCAACGGCGCCGCAGGCGAGGAGUUCAACAAGGGCAAGCUUCCUCCAUGGCUUACUAAUCUACACAGUGUCACGAGAUAAUCAGAAGGUUGGGUCAGAAUCGCGAAGCUGCAGGCAAAAGCCAGCUGCGAAAGAAGGUGAUGGUGUGAGCAUCAGCGGUGACUUUUCCAAGUUCCUGGCAGUAAAUUUUUUUCAUUGCACAAAAAUAAUGGUGCAAGGCUUGGAAAACUUUACAAAAAUUGCACAAAAAUAAUAGUUCUCAGAUGUAUUAGCAUGUAUUAGUCUGUACAAAAAUAAUAGUUCUCAGAUGGUGCGAAGCUGCAGGCCAUUCAAUAGCUUGAGAGCUGUAAGCUCAAGCUUUCUCAGAUGAAAAAGGACAUGCAGCAACUCGCUCACAAUCUUUUUGUCAUCGGUCAUUGAACUUGUACCUUGUGAUUGAAAUUAUGUGAAAUGUUCUAGGAAGACUCUUUUCACUGAAAUUAUCUAAUUUGGUAUGUGUUUUCACUAGAAUGCAUGUGACUGAACUUAGCUUAUUUCCCUAGCUGUAAACUGAACAUCUUAUGUUUCUCCCUACUUUGUGCAUGAUGCUACCAUGGAGACUUCAUGAAGACUACUGUCAUGGCGAUUGAAUGAUCAUGGGCCUUCUUCUCAGUUACGGAUGAUGGUUGUCAGCGGCUAUCAUGGAGGCUGUUGCGAGGGUCUAUGUAUGAUGUAUGGCCUCUCUCUUACAUUGACAUAUUAAGAAUUAAAAUAGGGGGCAUGAUCCUAUAGAUGGA
Molecule: long non-coding RNA, 1454 nt
Organism: Sorghum bicolor (sorghum)
Lineage: Eukaryota; Viridiplantae; Streptophyta; Magnoliopsida; Poales; Poaceae
Exons: 3
Source: RefSeq, a predicted model, not a curated record